UUUGGGCUAAUUGACAUUGAACUAUUAGUUCGGUUGGAUUGCCAAUCCCCUAAAAUGGGAGUAUUAGCAAUCCCAUGUGUGGUUAGGUAUUAAUAAUCCAAUAUCAAGGGAUUAAAAUUACUAUGAACAAUUAUGUCCAAGGUUAUUUUUGUUAUUUACGCACUUGUGCUUAGCUACAUAAACAACCACAGUUGUAAAAAACCAUACUCACCUCUCUCUUUC
RNAcentral lists this long non-coding RNA (222 nucleotides) under Actinidia chinensis (golden kiwifruit). Its description in RNAcentral is "long non-coding RNA (ACHI_LNC005080)". The record is from RNAcentral. Lineage: Eukaryota; Viridiplantae; Streptophyta; Magnoliopsida; Ericales; Actinidiaceae.